GUGAGAGUAUUGUUGUAUUUCUAUCCUGAGGGAAAUCCAAUAAAUAUCUAACGCACAUUUCCUAUUCUCCUUGACAGUCGUAAUUAAUCUGUUCUUACCACUGAGGUCCAGAUCUGCGAUGAGAAGAUGUGGAAUCCUCCCCGGCACCCGCAACUGCUCAGCUGAGUUCGGUCUACUUGAGGCCCGUAGGAUUAUUCAGUUUAUAAUCAUUUACUAUUCAUAAAUGAAUUACUCAGAGACUUUAUUGUUUAAUAAAAUUUUUCGCAUCACCAUUUGUCAUGGUUUCGUUUUAUUAAUGGACAAUAACUCAUAAGUAAUCAAAAAUGAAAAAAUAAAAGCAAGUAAGUCUUCGCCAUCGAAGUGCGGCCCCGCACUCAGAUUUUCUCUCCCUUUUAUAGCUUUGCAUACCCUUUGAAUACCUCCCCUACAUUCUCCCUUAUUUGGUAAUCACGUGUAUUCAUACACAAGCAUAGUACCUGACCUUUAUCACAUCUAAUACAGAGUGUCAAAAGUUCAAAGGGAAGAAUGGCAGGGGUGGUCAGCAACAUACACACGUUAGUACAAAAAUAUCCUUAACACCUUUUUCUGCAUAGGUACAAGUGUGCUCGGUUCAACCACAGAAGUCACACCUUCAUGCAUUGCAAAAUCAACACUACUCGGUUGCAGUUUCAUCUCCCAAGCACGUUGGAAAAUGCAACCGCGUCCUUUUACACUCUUUAAACAAACAAAGCAUACAUCAACUCUUAAACCACAAAGAUUAAUACCUUCAAAGGUUAGAAAAAUAAAAGAGAAAUAAAAAAGAAAUAAAAAUAAAAUAAAUAUUUGAAACAUGAUCAUGAUUCCCCCCAAAAGAAACUCUUACAUCUUAAACAUUGGAGCUUUGAGCUUCAAAGACUCUAAACCCUUUGUCAGUGCUUGCAGCUCGAGAUGGAUCUUAUUAUACUCAGCCAUGUCUCCUGCUUGAGCACCAACUUUGUCACCGCUUUCAGCUUGAAAUGCAUGUCCUGCUGGUAUUCCAGAUUUCUUCGUUGCUCGGCAAUGCUGCUCAACUUUCGCUUGCUUUUUGGCUUUUCUGCUUUCUUCCACUUGCAGUCCUUUAAUGAUGAGAUCACCAAGGUCAACAUUCACAUUUGCUUUACAGUCUCUGUUCCCUAAGGUAAUGGGCCCAGUAGGAGAUUGGUCAAAAAUUGGUCAAAAACACUCCUAUAUUACCUCCAAAUAUGACAGUAUACAUAAAAAAUCAAUAUGUAUGUAAUUUCAAUGCUUUGGCCUUUGUGUAGAUAUUUAAGAAUGUCCCUAUAGUUAGUGUGUGUUAAUUUCUACAUCUACUAAUAUUAUUUUUACAAAUUUAUAGCGCUGUACAUCUAAAAUGAAUGUUUGUCUUUGCAUAAAGUGUGUACUGUAUAUAUUUAUUAUGUGUAUAUAUAAAUACACAUGCAUGUGUUUAAGAAAAUUGUUCUUUAUAUAUUAAAUGUUUAUAUAUAAUAUAAAUUAUAUAUAUAUGAGUGUGUGUGUGUGUGCAAAUACAUGUAAAUAUUUUCAAGAUAUAUACUGUAUGUGUGUGCAUUUGUAUAUACAGUACACACACAUUAUGUCAGCAAACUUUUAUUUUGGAUGCAAUUAAUCAAUUUGACAGCAGUAAAUCUGAAGUUGCAAUUUGAACAUUAGUUAAUGAACCAUGAACUAACUUUAAUGAUCAAUAUACAAUAGGUGGAGAACCAGAAUGGGUAAUACCGCUGCGUGUACCGCAAGUAACUCCAAGUCAGUCGCGUGUUAAAAUCAUUCGCGAAACUAGGUGCCGCAAAAGGACGGAUUGCGAACUGAAUGUAAUUGUAAAAUGUUGCUUUGUAAACCGAGAUAAAAGGAAGAAGUAAAACAACAAUAACUUUAUAAUAUAACAUUGUAACAUCCUUAAAAACCAUUAGAACAUUUACAGUGAGUUAAUUUCAAAACGUGGGAUAGUCUUAGGCUACAGUCUACUCAUCAAAAAUUUAAAGAAAUACCUUUACACAAAGGCUCUUACUGCAUGCUAUUGUUAUUAAACAGUCAUUACACACAUACAUACAUAUAUAUAUAUAUAUAUAUAUAUACACACACACACACAGAUUAAAAAAAAUGUUAUUAUUUUGGUUCAUUCUUGGUUAAAAAAAUCUUCAGGUUCCAUUUGCAGAGCGAAAUGAGAAUGGUCCAGCAUUUAGAAAUAAUUCUUAUUAACUCUGUUAUUAUUCUUGAUUUUUCAAACUGCUAACACUUUGCAUUUUCGAAUUAUGCCUUUACUGUGUGACCAAAAAUUGAGUAUUUUCAGUUUCAGCUGUUUGAUUGCGCUGGUGCCUCACGCGCACAUAUUCACUAGAAACAGUGCAGCCGUUCACUGUGCCAUCCAGCGCGAGCAGUGGUCCACUUUGGCAUAUUUUUGUUAAUUAUGAUAUUUUUCCGUCAAUACUGAAACACGCGUGAACUACAAAGCCUAUUUUACCUAAUGAAUUAUAGUUAAGCUUCAAAUGGGUAACAUCAUGAAUAUGGAAACGUUAGGAUUUCUCCCGAAUGAGAGAACCCAACCUUACCUUAUGUUUCACUUUAAAUUAUUAUUAGUUUAUUUUAUUUUUUUGUUUGUUUAUAGGUAAGCCUAUAUUAUUAUAUACUGCAAUUAUAUUUAUCCAUUAGAAUUAUUUAUUUUUAAUUCUUGUUCUGUUCUGAUAAAUUUGUUAAAUUUAAAGGAUUUGUUGUAAAGUGAAAGGAACUAAAAAUAUCCUGUUGGUACAUUAUAACAUUAUUAGGCCAGCCGUUAUUAUUCUGAAUGUAAUAAAAUGCAACCUACAGUAUACA
Molecule: long non-coding RNA, 2826 nt
Organism: Cyprinus carpio (common carp)
Lineage: Eukaryota; Metazoa; Chordata; Actinopteri; Cypriniformes; Cyprinidae
Source: Ensembl